AACCUUACCUCAAUGCUUAUUUAACUCGAUGAGGUGUAGAACAUUCUGCUGAACACGUAUAUGAUAAUGAGUCAUGUGAUCUCCCCUUAAAAUGUCUAUGUGAGCUGGGAAUAUUUUGCAUCCAGCUGAGUUACCAUCAAGUCGAGCAACCAGGGCACCAAUUUAACAUCUCAUCUAAAGAACGGCACAUUCAGGAGGCCAGCACCUCCCUCUUAUGUUGUACUGCAGCUUCAGUAUAGGAAACUUAAUCCAGCUAUUGGGUAAGGGAAAAGAACCAGAACAUUCUGCACCAAAGGAUGUUUCUCCUGGAAUAAAGUUAUGGCUCAGAUUCAUGAAUGUAUGCCCAUCUCACUGAACUCAUCAGCGACAAGGAGUGAUGAAGGAGUUUGAGUAUUCAGGAAAUAAUGGUAAAUGGCCAACUGCAGUGAAAGCCGUAAACAAAACAACAAGGUUUGUAACUACAAGAGCGAUGACGACAGUAAUGCAAGCAGCAGCAGAGUUGACAAAAUAAAAGUGAAACAGUCUCAAGACCUUUAUUUGGAUUAUGGGUGCACAUUUAUUGAUAAGUAAGGCAUUCAACAGCCUUGUGUAAUAUACGGCAACAUGCUUGCAAAUAAGGUUAUGAUGCCAAGCAAGAUGCCAUGCCACUUACUAUUAAAGCCCACAUCAGAAGGGAUAAAACAUAGUUUGGGCACGCACCAGACAAUCAACCGAAACAAGAGCUGGUCUUUGGGAUGGCUCUAACCGUAACAGAGAAGGUUCAGUUGGCAAGCUUACAGGUCACAGAGCGUGUUACCAAAACAAUGAAAUCACAUAUUGUAGAGUCUUUGAUUAUGCCUGCCUGCUAGCUGAUGGUAACGACAAUACUUGGAAAAGGUGCUUAAAAUGUGUUAGCAAAAAUGUCAUUGUCCAGUAACACUAUUUCUAGAUGAAUAGAAAUUAUUUCUGCCGAUGUCAAUACUAACUUCUGCUGUUUGCUUAAGACUCACAAACAAUUUUCUCUGCAGACUAACAAAUCUAUAAAUGUAAGCAGAAAAUCACAGUUAAACAGCUUUUGUAUGGUUUUCAAAUAGUUCAGAAAUAUUGGAACAGUUUCUGUUUUUUCAAAGAACUGUAUGAAAACAUCAUCUUCAAAUGUCUCAAUGUUCUUCCAUCAAAAUAAGUUGUUACUGGAGUGGUGUGCUGCUUUAUGUAUAGCAGUGCUCCAUUCUAUGACUGGGAGUGUGUAUGUGAGUGGUUUCUUAAGUCUUGAAAAAUAUGAAAAUUCCCAAUGUAAUCACAACACGCUGUCUUAAAUCUUGUAGAACUGGUUUUAUAUCAGGUCAUUAAGAUGGAUAACUUCAUCUGUGUCUGUCUAGUGAAGAUUCGACUAUUUGAGAAACUGUAGGUUAUGGGAUUUGUGCAUUUCACACUGUUAAUGCACAAAGAAGUAAGAUGGUUAUCAAAAGGAAAAGUUCCAUCACAGUUGUAUGACUUACAUAAUGAACUAAAAACAGUUCUUUCUUAAUGAACAUGCAUAUGGUGACUUUGCAGAAUUACUGCUUGGUCGGACUUGGUGCAGUAAAUUAGCAUACCUCAUUGACAUAUUGGAAAUGCUGAAUACAUUGAAUUUCAGCUUGCAGGCAAUGAUGCCAAUGCGCUUGCCCUUACUAAUAAGCUUGAUGAUUUUCAUUGUAAACUUCUAAUGUGGAUAAAUUAAACAAAAAUAACAAAUUCAGUUUGUAUAUUCUCUUGCACAGUUCAAGCUGAUGCUGGUGCAAUUGUGUUGCAUGACAUUGUUACUGAGCAUUUGUUGUAGUUAGAGGACAAGUUACUACAUUAUUUUCUCCAUUUGAAUAGAUCCAAAACCCAUUUCAUAUCAAGUUGAAUUUGUCUGCAUUUCAGAUUAUGGAAAAAAACAGUUAAUUGACAGUGUCACUGAAGGAACACUAAAACUUAAGUUAUCAGGCAUGAAUUUAACAGAGCUUUGUAUUAUGACAGAGCAGCACCAUGCGCUAAUAGGUGCCAAAGCCAUUGGUGUACUCCUCCCAUUCUGUAUAACCUUACCUGUGUGACAAGGCAUCCUUGGCAUUGGCAGUGAUAAUGACAAAAACAGAUGUUUAUUCUCAAUGAACAUAACUUACAGGUGUGUUUGUCAACUGCAGUUCAAGUCUCAUUGAUAAACUUCCCCAUUCAUUGCAAAGUCAACCAUCACCUAAGUCAUUGCUUUGUCUUUUGCUUUGCAGUUUACUUUAUCAUAUUUGUCCAGGUGUUUCAGUGUUAGUAUCAACUGCUGGUAAUUUACAGUGAUCAGUACUGACAAAUUGGCAUUGAUUGUUAUUAAUUCACAGUUAUGGACACAACAGAAUGCAAUUAAGUGUAAAAAUAAACAUUGAUAAUGCAGUAUGUCAGCUACUGAAUGGA
Molecule: long non-coding RNA, 2403 nt
Organism: Protopterus annectens (West African lungfish)
Lineage: Eukaryota; Metazoa; Chordata; Ceratodontiformes; Protopteridae
Exons: 4
Source: RefSeq, a predicted model, not a curated record